GAUCUCAGUGACCAUGUGGGUGACCUGACUAACCCUUUGUUUUUUGUGGGUUUUUUUUCAGAUAAGUGGACACAAUGUACCCCAGACCGAGACCAGUUGAAGCAGCCUGGUAAGAAGAUGGGGCCCAAUCAGGCUCGAGGCGUAGCGGCUCAGCAGGGAGACGAGCGAGGCGAUACACAACCCUUUGCCCGU
Molecule: long non-coding RNA, 192 nt
Organism: Corapipo altera (White-ruffed manakin)
Lineage: Eukaryota; Metazoa; Chordata; Aves; Passeriformes; Pipridae
Exons: 3
Source: RefSeq, a predicted model, not a curated record